GUGCCUUUAGCUCAGUUGGUUAGAGCGUCGGAUUGUGGUUCCGAAGGUCAAGGGUUCGAGGCCCCUAAGGCACC
This 74-nucleotide transfer RNA is filed under the name Muribaculaceae bacterium. RNAcentral's name for it is "tRNA-His". It matches the Rfam family "tRNA". From Rfam's summary of the family: Transfer RNA (tRNA) molecules are approximately 80 nucleotides in length. Their secondary structure includes four short double-helical elements and three loops (D, anti-codon, and T loops). The record is from RNAcentral. Lineage: Bacteria; Pseudomonadati; Bacteroidota; Bacteroidia; Bacteroidales; Muribaculaceae.